AAGCUCCUGUUGGAAGAUGACAAAACAAAGCAGCUACUGCUGUUGUGCUCACAGAAGACUCCAUUCCUGGCCAGUGCUGCAACUUCACUCUAACGCUGUUAUGUGAGAGCUGCUCAUGCUCAAAGCAAAGACAAGAGAGCUCUUCCAAAAGAAGAGCUGGCCACAGACUCCCCAUCCUCAGGCUGAAGAAGGCCCAGUGGCAGCACGAAGUGACUCCCAGGUGCAGACGAGCCCAGCGACUCCCCGUGGCUGAGCUACAAAUUCAUCUCUGCAGCCCACCCGAGCGGCCUGCCUGCUGAUCGCUCAUAAAUAAGUCAGCCGUGGAGCAGGGUUAAUAUUUACCUACGUGUCUCGGACAGCUGCAUCCUGAAGAUGGAAAGCGUUGCAGAAGCUCUGGAGUAAGUUAUCAUUAGGCCUCUAUUCUGGCAUAUUUACUCACCCCUAAUAGGUUACAGAGGUGCAGAAAUACAAUUAAACUACAAGUUUUCUAUAGCUGCUUGCCUCCUGGUAAUGCCUCAUCUUCUCGUGUAUUGAUUUAAUGCUUCUGCUGGUGCUGUAACACGUUAGCUGUGUUUUACAACCAUCAGUGUGCUGACCUGACUCCUGCGUACCGACCCUACCUGCUUCUUUCCUCCUUGGAUGGUUUUUAUUUAUUGUAUCCGAUAAAAUAUACAGAAGCCUUCCCGAGUUUCGGAGGCAGGGUGGUUUAUCCACGGCUCAAUGUUCAGCGUGCUUCUGUAAGGAAAGUGUGCUAUGGGGUUGGACUUCUUGGGCAGUAAAAGUACCCUUCAUUACAUCUCAUCAAGAGAUCAUUAAAACCAACCUUUAGCCCCUCAGAGCUCUGUGGCUUUGAGCAGGGUUGCGCUCAGGGCAGCGCUUUCCAUUUGCUGUGGCCAGAGAGAUAUUUCCUUUCCUCAUGAUG
This 922-nucleotide long non-coding RNA is filed under the name Anser brachyrhynchus (Pink-footed goose). Its description in RNAcentral is "lncRNA (ENSABRG00000010431.1)". Lineage: Eukaryota; Metazoa; Chordata; Aves; Anseriformes; Anatidae. The record is from RNAcentral.